Molecule: ribosomal RNA, 497 nt
Filed under: uncultured bacterium
Lineage: Bacteria
Description: partial 16S ribosomal RNA
Rfam family: Bacterial small subunit ribosomal RNA
Source: RNAcentral
GAUGAACGCUGGCGGCGUGCCUAAUACAUGCAAGUCGAGCGAACAGACGAGGAGCUUGCUCCUCUGACGUUAGCGGCGGACGGGUGAGUAACACGUGGAUAACCUACCUAUAAGACUGGGAUAACUUCGGGAAACCGGAGCUAAUACCGGAUAAUAUAUUGAACCGCAUGGUUCAAUAGUGAAAGACGGUUUUGCUGUCACUUAUAGAUGGAUCCGCGCCGCAUUAGCUAGUUGGUAAGGUAACGGCCUACCAAGGCAACGAUGCGUAGCCGACCUGAGAGGGUGAUAGGCCACACUGGAACUGAGACACGGACCAGACGACUACGGGAGGCAGCAGUAGGGAAUCUGCCGCAAUGGGCGAAAGCCUGACGGAGCAACGCCGCGUGAGUGAUGAAGGUCUUCGGAUCGUAAAACUCUGUUAUUAGGGAAGAACAAAUGUGUAAGUAACUAUGCACGUCUUGACGGUACCUAAUCAGAAAGCCACGGCUAACUACGUG